This 800-nucleotide ribosomal RNA is filed under the name Mycetocola sp. RNAcentral describes it as "bacterial SSU rRNA". It matches the Rfam family "Bacterial small subunit ribosomal RNA", at positions 693 to 1488 of the family's 1533-position model. Lineage: Bacteria; Bacillati; Actinomycetota; Actinomycetes; Micrococcales; Microbacteriaceae. The record is from RNAcentral.
GAUAUCAGGAGGAACACCGAUGGCGAAGGCAGAUCUCUGGGCCGUAACUGACGCUGAGGAGCGAAAGGGUGGGGAGCAAACAGGCUUAGAUACCCUGGUAGUCCACCCCGUAAACGUUGGGAACUAGAUGUGGGGACCAUUCCACGGUCUCCGUGUCGCAGCUAACGCAUUAAGUUCCCCGCCUGGGGAGUACGGCCGCAAGGCUAAAACUCAAAGGAAUUGACGGGGGCCCGCACAAGCGGCGGAGCAUGCGGAUUAAUUCGAUGCAACGCGAAGAACCUUACCAAGGCUUGACAUAUACCGGAAACGGCCAGAGAUGGUCGCCCCGCAAGGUCGGUAUACAGGUGGUGCAUGGUUGUCGUCAGCUCGUGUCGUGAGAUGUUGGGUUAAGUCCCGCAACGAGCGCAACCCUCGUUCUAUGUUGCCAGCACGUAAUGGUGGGAACUCAUGGGAUACUGCCGGGGUCAACUCGGAGGAAGGUGGGGACGACGUCAAAUCAUCAUGCCCCUUAUGUCUUGGGCUUCACGCAUGCUACAAUGGCCAGUACAAAGGGCUGCAAUACCGUAAGGUGGAGCGAAUCCCAAAAAGCUGGUCCCAGUUCGGAUUGAGGUCUGCAACUCGACCUCAUGAAGUCGGAGUCGCUAGUAAUCGCAGAUCAGCAACGCUGCGGUGAAUACGUUCCCGGGCCUUGUACACACCGCCCGUCAAGUCAUGAAAGUCGGUAACACCCGAAGCCGGUGGCCUAACCCUUUAUUGGGAAGGAGCUGUCUAAGGUGGGAUCGGUAAUUAGGACUAAGUCG